AUUGAACGCUGGCGGCAUGCCUUACACAUGCAAGUCGAACGGCAGCACGGGAGCAAUCCUGGUGGCGAGUGGCGAACGGGUGAGUAAUAUAUCGGAACGUGCCCAGUCGUGGGGGAUAACGCAGCGAAAGCUGUGCUAAUACCGCAUACGAACUAUGGAAGAAAGCGGGGGAUGGCAAGACCUCGCGCGAUUGGAGCGGACGAUAUCAGAUUAGCUAGGUGGUGGGGUAAAGGCCCACCAAGGGGACGAUCUGUAGCUGGUCUGAGAGGACGACCAGCCACACUGGAACUGAGACACGGUCCAGACUCCUACGGGAGGCAGCAGUGGGGAAUUUUGGACAAUGGGCGCAAGCCUGAUCCAGCAAUGCCGCGUGCAGGAUGAAGGCCUUCGGGUUGUAAACUGCUUUUGUACGGAACGAAACGGUCCUUUCUAAUACAGAGGGCUAAUGACGGUACCGUAAGAAUAAGCACCGGCUAACUACGUGCCAGCCGCCGCCGUAA
RNAcentral lists this ribosomal RNA (500 nucleotides) under uncultured bacterium. RNAcentral describes it as "partial 16S ribosomal RNA". It matches the Rfam family "Bacterial small subunit ribosomal RNA", at positions 29 to 523 of the family's 1533-position model. The record is from RNAcentral.